GAGUUAUGUAUGCGUUGGACAUGAACUAUCGUUUCCCAAUUUAUUUGUCGUAUAGCCCACUACCGAUUUCUAAUUUUGAUUAUGACAAAUUGAACACUCUGGAAAUCCGAGCCCUAGCCGUUCUGGAUGCCUUUCGAGUAGUAAAAGUUAAGGACUUGCUACAUAUGGUCGACGACCCGAAACAAAUUUCUAAAUUCCUGGGUAAUGCUUACAUAUGCC
This 219-nucleotide long non-coding RNA is filed under the name Lathyrus oleraceus (garden pea). RNAcentral describes it as "Pisum sativum (pea) long non-coding RNA (PSAT_LNC018945)". The record is from RNAcentral. Lineage: Eukaryota; Viridiplantae; Streptophyta; Magnoliopsida; Fabales; Fabaceae.